Non-coding RNA from Acanthosepion pharaonis, 85 nucleotides. The record is from the annotation of a GenBank genome assembly. Lineage: Eukaryota; Metazoa; Mollusca; Cephalopoda; Sepiida; Sepiidae.
GUUCUCAUAGGAUCAUUGAAGUUAAGCAACAUCGAGUUUGGUCAGUACCUAGAUGGGUGACCACUCGGGAAUACCAGGUGCUGUA